This 467-nucleotide ribosomal RNA is filed under the name uncultured bacterium. RNAcentral describes it as "partial 16S ribosomal RNA". It matches the Rfam family "Bacterial small subunit ribosomal RNA", at positions 28 to 507 of the family's 1533-position model. The record is from RNAcentral.
GACGAACGCUGGCGGCGUGCUUAUCACAUGCAAGUCGAACGGAAAGGCCCUGCUUUUGUGGGGUGCUCGAGUGGCGAACGGGUGAGUAACACGUGAGUAACCUGCCCUUGACUUUGGGAUAACUUCAGGAAACUGGGGCUAAUACCGGAUAGGAGCUCCUGCUGCAUGGUGGGGGUUGGAAAGUUUCGGCGGUUGGGGAUGGACUCGCGGCUUAUCAGCUUGUUGGUGGGUAGUGGCUUACCAAGGCUUUGACGGGUAGCCGGCCUGAGAGGGUGACCGGCCACAUUGGGACUGAGAUACGGCCCAGACUCCUACGGGAGGCAGCAGUGGGGAAUAUUGCACAAUGGGCGGAAGCCUGAUGCAGCAACGCCGCGUGCGGGAUGACGGCCUUCGGGUUGUAAACCGCUUUCGCCUGUGACGAAGCGUGAGUGACGGUAAUGGGUAAAGAAGCACCGGCUAACUACGUG